AGUGAACGCUGGCGGCAGGCCUAAUACAUGCAAGUCGAACGGCAGCACGGCAGAGCUUGCUCUGUGGGUGGCGAGUGGCGGACGGGUGAGGAAUACAUGGGAAUCUGCCCAGUCGUGGGGGAUAACGUAGGGAAACUUACGCUAAUACCGCAUGCGCCCUUCGGGGGAAAGCCGGGGACCUUCGGGCCUGGCGCGAUUGGAUGAGCCCAUGUCGGAUUAGCUAGUUGGCGGGGUAAUGGCCCACCAAGGCGACGAUCCGUAGCUGGUCUGAGAGGAUGAUCAGCCACACUGGAACUGAGACACGGUCCAGACUCCUACGGGAGGCAGCAGUAGGGAAUAUUGGACAAUGGGCGCAAGCCUGAUCCAGCCAUGCCGCGUGAGUGAAGAAGGCCCUCGGGUUGUAAAGCUCUUUUGUCCGGAAAGAAAAGCGCCGGGUUAAUACCCUGGUGUCCUGACGGUACCGGAAGAAUAAGCACCGGCUAACUUCGUGCCAGCACG
Molecule: ribosomal RNA, 498 nt
Filed under: uncultured bacterium
Lineage: Bacteria
Description: bacterial SSU rRNA
Rfam family: Bacterial small subunit ribosomal RNA
Source: RNAcentral